Molecule: unclassified non-coding RNA, 87 nt
Filed under: Pseudomonas psychrophila
Lineage: Bacteria; Pseudomonadati; Pseudomonadota; Gammaproteobacteria; Pseudomonadales; Pseudomonadaceae
Source: RNAcentral
UGUGGGAGCGAGCCUGCUCGCGAUAACCUCAACGCGGUAUGCCUGAAUCACCGCGUUAUGGCUAUCGCGAGCAGGCUCGCUCCCACA